GGAAUCUUGCGCAAUGGGCGAAAGCCUGACGCAGCGACGCCGCGUGAGGGAUGACGGCCUUCGGGCUGUAAACCUCUGUCAGGAGGGAAGAACCCGGGCUCGGUGAACAGCCGCUCCCGCUGACGGUACCUCCAGAGGAACCACCGGCUAACUCCGUCCCCGCAGCCGCGGUAAGACGGAGGGUGCAAACGUUGUUCGGAAUCACUGGGCGUAAAGGGCGCGUAGGCGGACCUGUAAGUCAGGAGUGAAAUCCCGGGGCUCAACUCCGGGCCUGCUUCUGAAACUGCGGGUCUUGAGGACCGGAGAGGAAAGCGGAAUUCCUAGUGUAGCGGUGGAAUGCGUAGAUAUUAGGAAGAACACCAGCGGCGAAGGCGGCUUUCUGGACGGUACCUGACGCUGAGGCGCGAAAGCUAGGGGAGCAAAC
Molecule: ribosomal RNA, 424 nt
Filed under: uncultured bacterium
Lineage: Bacteria
Description: bacterial SSU rRNA
Rfam family: Bacterial small subunit ribosomal RNA
Source: RNAcentral